RNAcentral lists this ribosomal RNA (210 nucleotides) under uncultured bacterium. RNAcentral describes it as "partial 16S ribosomal RNA". It matches the Rfam family "Bacterial small subunit ribosomal RNA", at positions 125 to 334 of the family's 1533-position model. The record is from RNAcentral.
CGCCCACGUCGGUGGGGGAGUAACUACGACGAAGACGUAGCUAAUACCGCAUACGAUCUACGGAUGAAAGCGGGGGAGUCGCAAGACCUCGCGCGAUUGGAGCGGCCGAUGGCAGAUUAGGUAGUUGGUGGGGUAAAGGCUCACCAAGCCUGCGAUCUGUAGCUGGUCUGAGAGGACGACCAGCCACACUGGGACUGAGACACGGCCCAG